UCCGGUUUGUCACCGGCAGUCUCAUUAGAGUGCCCUUUCGUAGCAACUAAUGACAAGGGUUGCGCUCGUUGCGGGACUUAACCCAACAUCUCACGACACGAGCUGACGACAGCCAUGCAGCACCUGUGUUCAGGCUCUCUUUCGAGCACUCCCACCUUUCAGCUGGAUUCCUGACAUGUCAAGGGUAGGUAAGGUUUUUCGCGUUGCAUCGAAUUAAUCCACAUCAUCCACCGCUUGUGCGGGUCCCCGUCAAUUCCUUUGAGUUUUAAUCUUGCGACCGUACUCCCCAGGCGGUGUACUUCACGCGUUAGCUGCGUUACCAAAUCCGUGAGGAUCCGACAACUAGUACACAUCGUUUAGGGCGUGGACUAC
This 372-nucleotide unclassified non-coding RNA is filed under the name uncultured Gammaproteobacteria bacterium. RNAcentral's name for it is "contains 16S-23S intergenic spacer region". The record is from RNAcentral. Lineage: Bacteria; Pseudomonadati; Pseudomonadota; Gammaproteobacteria.